AGCGAACGCUGGCGGUAGGCCUAACACAUGCAAGUCGAACGGCAGCACAGUAAGAGCUUGCUCUUACGGGUGGCGAGUGGCGGACGGGUGAGGUAUACAUCGGAAUCUACUUUUUCGUGGGGGAUAACGUAGGGAAACUUACGCUAAUACCGCAUACGACCUACGGGUGAAAGCAGGGGAUCUUCGGACCUUGCGCGAUUGAAUGAGCCGAUGUCGGAUUAGCUAGUUGGCGGGGUAAAGGCCCACCAAGGCGACGAUCCGUAGCUGGUCUGAGAGGAUGGUCAGCCACACUGGAACUGAGACACGGCCCAGACUCCUACGGGAGGCAGCAGUGGGGAAUAUUGGACAAGGGGCGCAAGCCUGAUCCAGCCAUACCGCGUGGGGGAAGAAGGCCUUCGGGUUGUAAAGCCCUUUUGUUGGGAAAGAAAAGCAGCAGGUUAAUACCCCGCUGUUCUGACGGUACCCAAAGAAUAAGCACCGGCUAACUUCGUG
Molecule: ribosomal RNA, 492 nt
Filed under: uncultured bacterium
Lineage: Bacteria
Description: partial 16S ribosomal RNA
Rfam family: Bacterial small subunit ribosomal RNA
Source: RNAcentral